Molecule: ribosomal RNA, 463 nt
Filed under: Vreelandella stevensii
Lineage: Bacteria; Pseudomonadati; Pseudomonadota; Gammaproteobacteria; Oceanospirillales; Halomonadaceae
Description: partial 16S ribosomal RNA
Rfam family: Bacterial small subunit ribosomal RNA
Source: RNAcentral
CCUACGGAGGCUGCAGUGGGGAAUAUUGGACAAUGGGCGAAAGCCUGAUCCAGCCAUGCCGCGUGUGUGAAGAAGGCCUUCGGGUUGUAAAGCACUUUCAGUGGGGAAGAAAGCCUUGGGGCUAAUACCCUCGAGGAAGGACAUCACCCACAGAAGAAGCACCGGCUAACUCCGUGCCAGCAGCCGCGGUAAUACGGAGGGUGCGAGCGUUAAUCGGAAUUACUGGGCGUAAAGCGCGCGUAGGCGGUCUGAUAAGCCGGUUGUGAAAGCCCCGGGCUCAACCUGGGAACGGCAUCCGGAACUGUCAGGCUAGAGUGCAGGAGAGGAAGGUAGAAUUCCCGGUGUAGCGGUGAAAUGCGUAGAGAUCGGGAGGAAUACCAGUGGCGAAGGCGGCCUUCUGGACUGACACUGACGCUGAGGUGCGAAAGCGUGGGUAGCAAACAGGAUUAGAUACCCUGGUAGU